This 560-nucleotide small RNA is filed under the name Pongo abelii (Sumatran orangutan). RNAcentral's name for it is "retained intron". Lineage: Eukaryota; Metazoa; Chordata; Mammalia; Primates; Hominidae. The record is from RNAcentral.
ACUUUUGCUGCUCCCUCUGCCUGGAAUGUUCUUCCCUAUGGAUGUGAUUCAUUCUUUCACUCUUUUCAGGUCUCUGCUCAAAUACCACAUCCUCAGUGUGAUCCUGUUCCUUGACUGCUCCAGGCAUGCUCCUGCAUCAGGAUCUAUCUGCCUGGAGCUCUUCCCCUAGGUAUCCCUCACUGCUCAAACUUCCCCAUUGAGAAGCCUCCUCGGACCCCCACUACCAUUGUCCUCAGCACUCCCCGCCUCCCUCACUCUGCUUUUUCCCCACAGCAUUUGCCACCAUCUGCUCUGUAUUCCCUCCCCUGUGCCUCUCACCCAGCGGAUGUCAGCACAUGUGGACGCCACACAGCAGGGACUCUGCUCUUCCGUUCAGUUCACUGACAUAUCCCCAGGACCUAAACAGUGCUUGACAUAUAGUAGAUACCCAGUAAAUAUGUGAUAGGAGCAUGCUGCUAUGUGGAAUGUUCAGCUUUAACCCAGAAGGGAUUGAAGACUGUUUUUGAUGAGGCUAUCAUAGCCAUUUUAACUCCAAAGAAACACACUGUAAAAAAAAGAAU